UCCAAAAGCUACAACUUUUAAAAAACUCUUUUUGAAUAAAAAGUUUGUUUUUUCAAGGGUCUGAAGCUAUUUAAUCUCAAUAAAUAGCUUCUAUAUAUAUAUUGAGUUUCAAUUAAGAGAAUUUCUAAAGUGAGAGGAAUAAGAUGUCUAAGAAAAAUUUGACAAAACUUAUGUUGGUAAUAAUUGAGUUGAUUAUCCUCGUGAUACUCAAUGUGCAUGCUAAUGAUUCAACCACUCCUUCUUCUGCUCCCACAACACUACUAACUGGCCUUCAUCUCUUCCAACUUGACAAAGCGGAUGUGAGUUAUAUUGAUCAUUGCAUUGAAAGCACAUUGAAGGAGUGUAACUUUUUACAUGAACCAUUUGCUACAACUUGUUUUCUUCUUAAAUGCAUUUUUAAAAGUCCAAUGCAUCCAAAAUAUUUUCCCAUCAACAUUGAUGUUAUGAUAUUAGAUUGCUAUGAGCAUUGUUUUAAGAAAUUGGAACUUCAUGGCAUACGUCAUGUACUUUGUCUAGCACGUUGCUAUGAAGAGGAAAUGAAGAAGUAUAAUUUCAAGAAUUGAUAAUCUUCGAGUUUGUUACUAAUGCAGAUCCGGAGGAUGAAGGCAUGGACCCAUAUGCCAAUUUUAAUGGUUUUUGAAACCAUUACCGAAGUAAUAUGUGCUAGCUUAGAAAUCACUAGUCAUAUUUAUGUGUGUUUUAUUUCAUCGCUUGUAAUAAUUAUAACGAUGUUAUGUUUGAUAUAUUUUAUGUUGUAUGCUUAUGUGCCGUUUGUGGCACUAAUUUUAAUGUACGUAGUGUGCAUAUGGCGUGUAAUGAUAACCUAAAAAAAUCUUAAUAAAUGCUUUGAGCUAUUCCAGUCA
Alnus glutinosa is the source of this 863-nucleotide long non-coding RNA. RefSeq lists it as uncharacterized. The transcript has 2 exons. Lineage: Eukaryota; Viridiplantae; Streptophyta; Magnoliopsida; Fagales; Betulaceae. The record is from RefSeq and is a predicted model, not a curated record.